RNAcentral lists this ribosomal RNA (320 nucleotides) under uncultured eukaryote. RNAcentral's name for it is "partial 18S ribosomal RNA". It matches the Rfam family "Eukaryotic small subunit ribosomal RNA", at positions 1470 to 1796 of the family's 1831-position model. The record is from RNAcentral.
CCCCUAGAUGUUCUGGGCCGCACGCGCGCUACACUGAACAGUUCAACAAGUCUUAACCUUGGCCGAUAGGUCUGGGUAAUCUUUGAACGCUGUUCGUGAUUGGGAUAGACCUUUGCAAUUAUGGGUCUUCAACGAGGAAUUCCUAAUAAACGCAAGUCAUCAGCUUGCAUUGAUUACGUCCCUGCCCUUUGUACACACCGCCCGUCGCACCUACCGAUUGAAUGGUCCGGUGAAAUCUCGGGACGGCGGCUUGGUCGCUUGCGUCCGACUGCUGAAACUUGAUUAAACCAUAUCAUUUAGAGGAAGGUGAANUCGUAACA